AUUUAUGCUCUGCAGCUGCUGUUGCUUCUGAUCUCAUCGUUGCACCUAUGAAUACUCCGUGCUGCCAGUUGAAAGCCUCAUAGACCAGAGGCACGCCUGGAGAGAAGGAAGGAGGCACAGCAUUUAAAGAUAUGAAGAACAAAAUGGAUAAGGGAGCAAAUCCAAACUUGAAGGAAUGUACAUAUUAGGUAUGAAAUCUGCUUUAGAAACAAAGAGGGGCAAUUCCAGAGUUUGGCUGAAAGAAAAUGUGUAUUCCACAAUCUGACAUUUUCCUGAAAACUAUACCUUAUAGUGUUUCACAGAUGAAAAUGAGGACACAUCUAGCCACGCAACACUGAAGUGUGGUUAGGUGGCAAAAGUUAUUAAUCAUGAGAGGUAAGAGAGGCUGCAGCCAUUUGCUUUUAUCUAAAUAUACAGGGAAGUGAGACAUUUCACCCAUUUGUUUCCUCUCUCUCCAAUGACUACAUGUGAUUUUUGUACUUUGAACUCAAUUUACAGUAAACUGAGAAAAAUGGAAAGAAAUGUGGGAGGCAGAAAAGAAACUGGGAUGUUCCAAAAGCCCCAGGAAAAAGACAGCAGAGGAUGAACUGGUACUGUCCCUGUUGAACUAGGAUGUAAACUAGGAUGAACUGGGAUUUAAAAAAACAAGAAUUCGUCAAAGUUUAUUCAUACAAACAUUCCCGGAUUAUUUUUGGUCCAAGGAAGAUCUCCUGAAUAACUUCACUACAUGUGGCAUGUGAUUUUUCCAGAAUGUCUCCAACUUUUACUCAAUUCAUUUAGUUCGAUUUGCUUUGGAGAAUAUACCCAUCGUAUACUGCAUGAUACAGAGCACUGUUUAAGAAUUGCAAUGCAGUGAAGUCAGACUGGCUGCAACACAGCAAGAAAAGGGGUGUAUUUGAUCCAGGACAUUAUCCUCAAACCUUUGUUGCUCCAUAAAGUGCUGGCUCGAUGCCACGGCCAUUUCAGUUUCCCUUUGAAUGCUAUAAAACAUAAUUGAUACCUUGGUCAUCAAAUUUCAUCCAAGCAAUAUCGUCUCCAACACACUCAAUUUUCCAUCCUGGCAGAGUUGGUUUCAUCAUGGCCAAGUUGGUUUUUCCGCAUGCACUGGGGAAGGCUGCAGCAAAGUAUUUCUUUUUGCCCUCUGGGUUGGUGAUGCCCAAGAUCUGUUUUUUAAAGCACACAAAACACAAUUUUAAGGCACAUCAUGCAACAAAUCAUGACAGCACUAAGGGAUUUAAAGUAUUAACAACUUUAGCCUGCUAAACAAUUACUCUUGACCACUGUCCAGCUUUUCCAACCAUAUGAAUGAAACUGUUAUUUUAAGAAAUGUUGCUUCUACACAAUGCAGCAUAGAGGAAAUGCAGAUUUGAUUUUUGGAAUAGAUAUACUUGCAUAUUAUUUUUUCAUAUUUGCAGAUUGUGAUUUUCUUGAACAAAUUUAUUAUCAGAUUCAAGUAUAUUUUAUUGAUAAAUCUAUUUUAUUUAUCAUCUUUUUCUCUUGCUCGUUCUCCAAUUAACUUUAUGCAGUCUCAUAGAGUUAAACUCAGAACAAUCCUUUGCUGUAGAAAGAGUAAAAUUCAAGGCUAAAUGACAAUUUGAAUCCUGAUCUUCUCAGUUAGAGUCAAAUAUUCUAAUAUUGCCAAGGAGAUUAUGAAUAUAUAAAUGUAUUACUUCCAAACAUUUAUAAAUACAACUCCCAGUGUGAGCACAGCAACCCUGUCAAGUACAGUCUGGCUGCAUCUAUAGAACAGAAUUAAUGCAGUUUGGCACAACCUGAAUGGCCAUGGUUCAAAGUUAUGGAAUCCCAGAUAUAUAGUUUGUUGUGGCACCAGCACUCUUUGGCAGAGAGGGCAAAAGAUUGAGUAAACUACAACUUCCAUGAUCCCACAUCAUUGAACCGUGGCAGUUAAAGUCAUGUCAAACUGCAUUAGUUCUACAGUGUAGAUGCAUCCUCUUUCAAUUUUAGAUGAAGGCAAACCUUGCACACACAAAAAAAAACAAAAACCCUGUGAUAGGGUCUUUUAGACACCAUAAAGAAAAAAAUUACUUGAAGACAUACAACAGCAUUAUGAUUUGCAAAUAUACAUUGGGAACGUGGGUGGUGGAAAUGGCAAAGCACCUUCUCUGGUUUUUCUAUUUCGGGGUGUCCAUUUUCGAAGUUGCACUUUAUGGAAGCAUGUGGAAAGUAUUCCGGGAGUCUGCUAUACUCAUUUCUGUUUGUAUUAUUUCUUGCUUGGCUUAGAAAUUAAGUACAGUAAACUAUUUCCUAGCACUUGUGAAUUCAAUGUUGGAAAACACAAUGCAGUGUGAGCGCCUCCUAGCUGCUGAAUGUGCUGGGCUCUAAAUAAUGUACGCUGUAUAUUAAAAUGCUUCCUACCA
Molecule: long non-coding RNA, 2378 nt
Organism: Anolis carolinensis (green anole)
Lineage: Eukaryota; Metazoa; Chordata; Lepidosauria; Squamata; Anolidae
Exons: 2
Source: RefSeq, a predicted model, not a curated record